UACAGAGGUCCCAAGCGUUGUUCGGAUUCACUGGGCGUAAAGGGUGCGUGAGGCGGUACGGUAGUCUGAUGUGAAAUCUCACAGCUUAACUGUCGAAACUGCAUUGGAUACUAUCCGGCUCGAGGAAUGGAGGGGAGACUGGAAUACUUGGUGUAGCAGUGAAAUGCGUAGAUAUCGAAGUGGAACACCAGUGGCGAAGGCGAGUCUCUGGACAUUUCCUGACGCUGAGGCACGAAAGCCAGGGGAGCAAACGGG
RNAcentral lists this ribosomal RNA (255 nucleotides) under uncultured bacterium. Its description in RNAcentral is "partial 16S ribosomal RNA". It matches the Rfam family "Bacterial small subunit ribosomal RNA", at positions 524 to 776 of the family's 1533-position model. The record is from RNAcentral.